UUUAACGGCCGCAGUAAUUUGACUGUGCUAAGGUAGCAUAAUAGUUUGUCUCUUAAUUAGAGUCUAGAAUGAAAGAUAAAAUAAACUCUAACUUUCCUUCUUCCAUAAAUUUAACUUUAUUAUUGAGUUAAAAAGCUCAAAUAUCUAAAAAAGACGAUAAGACCCUAUGAAAUUUUAUUAGCACAAAAUUGUACUUAUAAUUUAUAAAAAAACAAGCACAAAUUAAAGAUAAUUCAGUUGGGGCGACUUUAAUUUAAAUAUAAACAAUUAAAAUACUCAAUAAAUAAGUUUAAAUAUCUAAGAACCCUAAUGGUUUAAUUGACUAAAUUACUCUAGGGAUAACAGCGUAAUUUUCCUGGAGAGCUCCUAUUGAUAGGAAA
This 380-nucleotide ribosomal RNA is filed under the name Pilbaranella sp. B GP-2018. Its description in RNAcentral is "partial 16S ribosomal RNA". It matches the Rfam family "Archaeal large subunit ribosomal RNA", at positions 2000 to 2584 of the family's 2987-position model. Lineage: Eukaryota; Metazoa; Arthropoda; Malacostraca; Bathynellacea; Bathynellidae. The record is from RNAcentral.